UGAAGCUUCAUUUUCUGCGAAGUGCCGAGAGCCAUUGGAAGCCUUGAAGUGAAGAGAAGCUACUGUAAAUGCUUUGAGGACUUAAGUGAAUAUUCAAUACCUUAUAAAAAGGAGUGAAGAUUAUCAUUCAAAAACAAAAGAAAUAAUUUUUAAAAAAUGAUAGACCAGGGAUUAUGGUGAAGAUCAGCAAUGAAAUCUACAGUUGCCUGGCACAUGGUGGGCCCUCAUUAAACUGAGUUGCUAUUAUUAUCUUGAUCUAAAUUUCAUGAGUGAUGUUUCCUUAUUUAAUUCAAAUCGUUGGUAGCAUUUAAUUUGUAAAAUCAGCAUCCAGAAUGACAUUUUUAGCUUUGGACAGUAACUGAAUCUGCUUAUUACCAUAGAAGAAUAGGUUCAUUCUGUUUGCAAUUACAACAUUAACGUAGAUGACUAGAAAGUCAGGCACUAUUUUACCUUGUUGAUACGUGAUUAGAAAAUUUAAAUGAACAAUCACAAACAGAAAAAAAAAAAGACAGAAAGAAAAGAAAUAUGUCCUGGCAGCCUACCUCACAAAAG
This is a long non-coding RNA of Ailuropoda melanoleuca (giant panda), 552 nucleotides long. RefSeq lists it as uncharacterized. The transcript is spliced from 3 exons. The record is from RefSeq and is a predicted model, not a curated record. Lineage: Eukaryota; Metazoa; Chordata; Mammalia; Carnivora; Ursidae.